This 86-nucleotide transfer RNA is filed under the name Thermoflexia bacterium. Its description in RNAcentral is "tRNA-Ser". It matches the Rfam family "tRNA". Rfam says of the family: Transfer RNA (tRNA) molecules are approximately 80 nucleotides in length. Their secondary structure includes four short double-helical elements and three loops (D, anti-codon, and T loops). Further hydrogen bonds mediate the characteristic L-shaped molecular structure. tRNAs have two regions of fundamental functional importance: the anti-codon, which is responsible for specific mRNA codon recognition, and the 3' end, to which the tRNAs corresponding amino acid is attached (by aminoacyl-tRNA synthetases). tRNAs cope with the degeneracy of the genetic code in two manners: having more than one tRNA (with a specific anti-codon) for a particular amino acid; and 'wobble' base-pairing, i.e. permitting non-standard base-pairing at the 3rd anti-codon position. Lineage: Bacteria; Bacillati; Chloroflexota; Thermoflexia. The record is from RNAcentral. RNAcentral also lists the same sequence under 1 other name.
GGAGGGAUGGCCGAGUGGACGAAGGCGGCGGUCUUGAAAACCGCUGUGGCCUAGCGCCACCGAGGGUUCGAAUCCCUCUCCCUCCG